This 508-nucleotide ribosomal RNA is filed under the name uncultured bacterium. RNAcentral describes it as "bacterial SSU rRNA". It matches the Rfam family "Bacterial small subunit ribosomal RNA", at positions 30 to 520 of the family's 1533-position model. The record is from RNAcentral.
AUUGAACGCUGGCGGAAUGCUUUACACAUGCAAGUCGAGCGGCAGCGCGGGGGCAACCCUGGCGGCGAGCGGCGAACGGGUGAGUAACACGUGGGCAACCUGCCUGUAAGACUGGGAUAACAUCGAGAAAUCGGUGCUAAUACCGGAUAAUAAAAAGAACUGCAUGGUUCUUUUUUGAAAGAUGGUUUCGGCUAUCACUUACAGAUGGGCCCGCGGCGCAUUAGCUAGUUGGUGAGGUAACGGCUCACCAAGGCAACGAUGCGUAGCCGACCUGAGAGGGUGAUCGGCCACACUGGGACUGAGACACGGCCCAGACUCCUACGGGAGGCAGCAGUAGGGAAUCUUCCGCAAUGGACGAAAGUCUGACGGAGCAACGCCGCGUGAGUGAUGAAGGUUUUCGGAUCGUAAAACUCUGUUGUUAGGGAAGAACAAGUGCCGUUCGAAAGGGCGGCACCUUGACGGUACCUAACGAGAAAGCCACGGCUAACUACGUGCCAGCAGCCGACGG